ACUAAAAUUACUGCAAUUUCCUAGAUGGUACCAUUUAUUAACAUUAUAUUAACAUUUAUUUUGAAAGGAUAUCUAAACAGACAUAGGGAAAGUGAAGGAGGCCAAUAUCAGGAUAAAACCACAUAAACUUACAUGCUUUUCAUCUGUUUCCUUAACCUACCACUUAAAAGCAUUACAUUCUGCCAGAACAGAUCUUAUGACCGAGCAUAAAUGUGUGUCAUCUGUGUCUAAUUGCUUUUCAGCAAUUCAGAGGUGAACAGUGAAGAUGUAAUUUAUAUGAAUAAAAAGUAAUAGAAAACAUUGCAGGGCCACAAUGAAGGCUAUUGUUUAUUUAUAUAUAAAUCCAAACAAUGUAAAUCACAAGGUCUUGAAUUUGUUCACAGCAUAUCUGAACCAAACACAUCAGGAGACAUGCUGCAACGUCUCCCUGCACACACGUAAAAACCACAACAAAAAAACGUCUCAAGGCACUGAACCGGAACAAAGUGACGACAACAACGCGAUAUGUCAUUGUAGUACGUGCUUUGGAAAGCGCGGGUCCCGUUUGCGAUUGUGCUGUGAUUGGCCAAUACCGCCCUACUCUGUCUGUGAUUUACUGGGUUAUGCAUGACUGACAGUUGCUGGCUUCAAUGGAAAAACGGAUGAGGACGUUAAAGAUCAAUCAUUUUAAACACUUUUCCCGCACAAUCGCGUCCCGUUUGGGUUGGUCCAUAUCAAUGGGUUGGUUAACAGGAUAUGUUUGAGAAGAAGAAGAAGGCAUCCAAUUUGCUGUUGGGAACAUCAGUCUUUAACAUGACUCAGAAGAAGUUCCCCGUAUCUGACACUAAGCCGGUGUCUGUCAACCCAACAACAUCGUGCGGCGGUUCCCGUUUGGUCGACUUCGAGUGAACAGCAGCUCUUGCCCGAUGUCAAGGCUUGAGGAAGGACGAAGCUAUAGAUAAGUGAUGCGAGUUGAUUUCAUGGAGUAAACUGAAAAGGUGAUUGCUGCACUGCAGUUAAGGAUGUCAAAAGAUUACACCUGUCGUAGUUGUGGUGCUUCAGUGAAUACCCUAAAAGGGUAUGUGAUGCAUCAAGGGCUUCAUAAAAAUGAACCACAUUAUCAGUAUGCAUGUUACAUGGAAAGUUGUAAGUUUCACUUCAGAAAUUACAAUGCUUUUAAAUGUCAUGUUUCCCGCAGCCAUCGACGCUCAUCUAACGCGUUGCAGUGUCAAACUUUGCAGGCACCCUUUCUAUGUCAACUUCCACAUUGUCAGAAACAGUUGAUCGACCUUAAAGACCUUCUCUGUCACCUAAAAUCUCACACUUCAAGAAGAGAGGUAGUGCAUUGCCCAUUUAAAAACUGUGAUAAAUCAUUUUCAGUGACCUCAUCUUUCACAGCCCACCUAUCUAGGAAGCACCAAAACCCCACAGCUCUGCAUCUCUCUGGUGCAUACUGUCCUCUUUCAGUUCCUAGUGAGUCUCAGUCCUCUGUUGCUGAAAGCCAGCCAGAUGAAGGGUCAGCUGUUGAUGAGCCUGAGGCAGAUGUCCCAGACCUUGCUCAAAUGAAAAGUUUGUACAUGAGAAACCUGUGCAUGUUUUAUAUGAAACUACAGGCCAAACAACUUAUCCCUUCCUCUACAAUCCAGUCGAUCGUAGAAGAAAUUAAUGGUCUUAAUGGAAUGUGCCUGCAGUACACUAAAAGUAAACUGAAAGCAUCUCUUCAAACAAAAACUGAACUAUCGGAGACUGAAAUUGAAGAUGUUUUGAAGACCCUAGAUGAUGUAGAUAUUCAUGGGUCCUGCAGCUCCUCCCUUUCCACAGAGUACAACAGAAAACGGUAUUUUGAGGAGAAUUUUCCAUACGUGCAUCCACAACCCAUUUUUUUGGGGUUUGAUGAAAAUAGAAAAGAGCAAUAUGCUCAGUAUGUUCCCAUAAAGCAUACAUUGACAACUCUACUAAAACAUACUGAUGUACUGGAACAGGGGUCUACAUCUGAGAAUGAAAGUUCAACUCAUAUUUUAAAUGAUGUGUGUGAUGGAUCGGUAUUCAAAUCCAGUCCUCUUUUCGCUGAGUCAGGUCUCACUUUAAAAGUGAUACUUUAUCAGGAUGCUUUUGAGGUGGUUAAUCCCCUUGGCUCGGCAAAGAAAAAACAUAAGGUGCUUGGAGUCUACUUCACUCUAGCAAAUUUUGAUCCUUUUCAUCGAUCCACUGUUGACAACUUGCAGCUUUUGCUUUUGUGCCGAGAAGCUGAUUUCAAAUAUUUUGGCCACGAGAAAGUGUUCUCUCAAUUGAUAACCGAUCUUGGAGAACUGGAGACGAAUGGACUGAAUAUUUCUGGAAACAUUGUUAAGGCAACUGUCUUUUGCAUUGCCGGGGACAAUUUAGGGUCACAUAAUAUUGGUGGAUUCACUGAAAAUUUCAGUAGGUCUCAACAUUUCUGCCGAUAUUGUCACGUAACCAGAAAUGAGCUAGACAAUUUGGAACACCAUGCUCCAAUCCGUACAGUACAAGAGUACAAUGACACUGUUCAAGAACUGCAAAAUGGUGAUGCGAGUAUAGUCAGAGGGGUGAAAUUUAACUCUGUCUUUAAUUCACUAACAUUUUUUCAUGUUUGCCAGCCAGGCCUCCCACCAUGUAUUGGCCAUGAUCUCUUUGAGGGUGUCGUGGCAUCUGACCUUGCCAUUUACCUGACCUAUUUUGUCAAGGUGAAGAAAUUCUUCACAUAUUCACAGCUUAAUCGAAGGAUCAAACAGUUUAGUUACCAGGGAUCUGAUGGUAGUUCUAAACCAGCUGAAGUUUCAGUAAAGGGUUUGAAAUUAGGUGGCCAGGCAGCAGAAAACUGCUCUUUGCUGAGACUUCUCCCCAUUAUCAUUGGUGAAAAGAUCACAGACACAGAGGAUCCUGUAUGGCAACUGACUGUCCAGCUGAAAGAGCUAGUGGAAUUGAUUUGUGCCCCUACAAUAUCAGUACCCCAGGUUGCAUUGCUCAAUGUUCUAAUUGGUGAUUAUCUGGAAGGAAGGAAAGAUUUUUUUCCAUUGCAAAAACUAAAACCAAAGCACCAUUACCUCACCCACUACCCUGCCUUAAUAUUGAAGUUUGGCCCACUCAUUCGGCUGUGGACAAUGAGGUUCGAGAGUAAGCACUCAUACUUCAAAAGAUGUAUCCGAAGGACACAAAACUUCAAAAAUGUAUGUCACACACUUGCAAAGAACCAUCAGCUGCUGCAGGCAUACCUUCAUUCUGGCUCAUUUUUUGCACCCUCAUUGGUGGUUAAGAACUCCACUCCUUUCCAUGCUGAACUGUACAGUGAAGCAGUGCGCUCUGCAGUAGGAGAAACCUUGGUAAACGAACCCAAUGUUGAGUCAGCUUACGAGGUGCAGUGGAAAGGCACUCGGUACAAAAAGGGACUCUUUCUGUGUUUAAACCAAGGUGAGGCACUUGAAUUCGGACAGAUUGAGCUCAUGCUUGUGUUGCAGGACCAGCAUGUGUACUUUAUUGUUACACCUCAUGACGUGUCCUAUAUGCCAGCAUUUGCAUUGUAUGAAGUGAAACAAGCAAGGCAGAGCUUGAUAUGCUGGAAGCCUGAUAAAAAACUAGAUUAUUAUCCUUUGCCUGUGUACAAGCUUUGUGGGACAAGGGUAAUUUCCCUUAAGCAUAGCAUUGUUGACUCUCAGUAAGUUAAAAUCUGACACUAAUGCUUGAAGAACAGUAUUUUUCAUCCCUUCUAGUCAUGGAUACAGAGAGCCCACUUCUGUCUUUCAUCAAAACAAGUCUUCCUAAAGUGAGAGACCCUGAGCCUUUGCUGGAGUGUCUGCAAGGUUUAGGAGUUGAGGACCUGGAAGACCUGACCUACCUGCAGGAGAGUGACCUCCUUUCUGUCCUGAGACCAAUUGAAGCCAGGAAACUUCUGUCACUGCUCCAAAAGACAAGCCAACAAGAUGUCUUGGACAGUCCUCCGAGCAACCAACAGUUCAGCAGAGCCAGUACCAGUACAAAUCCAGUAUCACAGUCUGACAAGAUGCACCUUUCUGGUGGUAACAGCUCAGAAACUACAUGUUCACCGCGGUCAACAAGUAGUUCAAGUAUGGAUACCACACCUCGUCGACUGUCUAACAGCUGGCAUUUUAAAUUUCAAAUUCCUUGGCAGAAAAUUCCAUCUGACAUCAUCAGAAAGCUGGAAACCGGAAACCGGCCAACAAAAAGUGAGAGACUUGAAAUCAUACGGCUCAUUGUUAGUGAAAUCAUAACCGCGUGCCCAACACCUGGGAAGAAACAUAUCAGUGAGAUAGCAAGGAUGAUGACAAAGGCCUACCCUGUGGCAUUUACUGAUGUCAUUGAAGGUGAAAUUGUAGGCAGUGGGUAUGACUCUAUAACGAAACAGAUGGUCAGCAGAGUGGAUAACCUGAAGAGGGGAAACACUUCCCUUUCCUUAAAGAGACAAGUUUUUAGCAGCAGCAAAGGAGAGGAUAGCCCAACUCGGAAAAGAAGACUAGACACUUACGGGUGUAUAAACUGGCAACCAACACGACUGCCACCUGAUGAAACCCCUGAAUCUCAGAAACAUGCACAAGAAGAGUUAAAGAAAAUGUGGAGAGAAAGAUGCUGUGACAGCAAAGCCAUUGAGAAUAUGAUGAGAGACACUUUCUUCACUCAGAGAAAAGACAUUAUCAGUGGGACUGAGGCGUCUGACUUGACAAAGGAAUGGCCAUACCUGUUUGAGACCAGUGGCAUGAAGACUCAUUUUAAAGAGCUUAUAGGUGUGGACAUGGAAGACAAAAACAUGGCAAAUAAAUGUGCCAGAGUUAUUUCAUUUCUUAAAUCUGGUGACAAGACAGGGAAGAUGGAGACCAUCUUCAGGGAAAUGGAAACAUCAAGCAAAAAUGUUGCAGAUGUGAAUGUUGCAGCGUUUCUUCCGCUGCUCCUCAAGUACUUCAAUGAAGAAGAAGAAGAAGAAGAACAGAUGUUCUACAAAGUGGAUCAAACAACCCUGCCCUCUGAAGUGGACUGUGCUGGACUUCCAAGUACACCAUGUAUCGUUGUGUGUGGAAACUCGACUUUGGCAGCGGAGAAUUUCAUGCUCUCUGUGGACCAGACCAUUGUGAAUGGCCACAUCAGAAUCUUCAGUGAUGCUGUUAUGCUGAUGUUUGGUUCGUACUACUGUAUGAACAUAUCUUACCCAGCAGCCCAGGCAUCAACUUUGGAGUUCUUACAGAGGUGCCUCUUCAAGAUAAACCCAGACAAGGGAUCAAAAGUGGACCGGAACGCUACCAAAAGAAAACUGGCAGUCAAUCCAAAGGUUCUCACCCUGAUCACCAGAAUUGCAGACUAUGAUUGGAGGGAAUAAGAAGUGCUUAUGGAUAGUUUGUCCAAAUUACUGACUGUUAUGGAUUAUUAUCCAGUGAGGUCAUGUAAGCUAUUAUGUAGCUUUGUUAUUAAUAUUGUGGAUUAUUUGGCCAAGUUAUGGAUGCCUUAGAAUAGAGUCAAGUGAGGUUUGACCAAGUUUGUCAUCAAUGUUUUGUAUGUAUUGUUACUUGACCCAGGUUAUGGAAACAUUGGAUAGAGCAUGGAUUCUUUUCCAUGGUUUAAUGUAUGUUUGUAAUCCAUGAAUGCCGACUUGACCAAGUUAUGGAUGUGUCACGUUAAAAUUGUACCGGGGGCGAAAAUUGUACCGGCCUACGUCAUCAGUUGUUUACAUCUUGAAAACCUGCCUGGCAACAGACGACGCGAUCGUCUGUUGCCAGACAGGUUUUCAAGAUGUAAACAACUGACGUAGGCCGGUACAAUUUUCGCCCCCGGUACAAUUUUAACGUGACAGAUGCCUUGGAUAGAAAUAUUGAUGUAAAUUGGUGUCUCAACUUGGUGUCAUUUUCAUUUAAUUGUUGUAAUUUUUUUAAUAUUGAUGUUAGAAUGGUAACAGUUAAAUACAAAUACAGAGAAUGGGAAAUUAUAGCUUUUCUUGUUCAGCUUAAGCCUCUUUUCCCACUGGCCAAAAACCGGUUAAACCAUUUACAAUAAUUCUGGUGUUAUCAGGUGAGUUUAGUUUGAAGUAUAAGUUGAAAGUCUUUGAAUUAUUCAGGAAAUCAAUGUAAAAGAAAAACAAAAACUAUAUUUACAAUAAACAGUAAAUUGUUGCAAUU
Gadus macrocephalus (Pacific cod) is the source of this 6116-nucleotide RNA transcript. RefSeq lists it as uncharacterized. The record is from RefSeq and is a predicted model, not a curated record. The transcript is spliced from 6 exons. NCBI's taxonomy places the organism in Eukaryota, Metazoa, Chordata, Actinopteri, Gadiformes, Gadidae.